Molecule: transfer RNA, 87 nt
Organism: Candidatus Korarchaeum cryptofilum OPF8
Lineage: Archaea; Thermoproteati; Thermoproteota; Candidatus Korarchaeia; Candidatus Korarchaeales; Candidatus Korarchaeaceae
Rfam family: tRNA
About the family: Transfer RNA (tRNA) molecules are approximately 80 nucleotides in length.
Source: Rfam
GCGGGGGUGGCCGAGCCAGGUUCAAGGCGACGGACUCAAGAUCCGUUGGGCGUCAGGCCCUCGUGGGUUCGAAUCCCACCCCCCGCA